UAUACAUGCAAGUCGAACGGUGUCUUCGGACAUAGUGGCGCACGGGUGCGUAACACCUUUGCCACCCACCUUACAUUGGGGGAUAGCCUUUCGAAAGGGAGAUUAAUACCGCAUAAGACAGUAACUAGGCAUCUAGUAGCUGUUAAAGAUUUAUCAAUGUAAGCUGGGCAUGCGACCAAUUAGCUAGUUGGUGAGGUAAUGGCUCACCAAGGCUAUGAUUGGUAGGGGAACUGAGAGGUCAAUCCCCCACACUGGCACUGAGAUACGGGCCAGACUCCUACGGGAGGCAGCAGUAGGGAAUAUUGGGCAAUGGACGCAAGUCUGACCCAGCCAUGCCGCGUGCAGGAUGAAGGCGUUAUGCGUUGUAAACUGCUUUUAUACAGGAAGAAACGACUCUUGCGAGAGGCAUUGACGGUACUGUAUGAAUAAGCACCGGCUAACUCCGUGCCAGCAGCCGCGGUAAUACGGAGGGUGCAAGCGUCGUCCGGAUUUAUUGGGUUUAAAGGGUGCGCAGGUGGUUUAUUAAGUCAGUGGUGAAAGACGGUCGCUCAACGAUUGCAGUGCCAUUGAAACUGGUAGACUUGAGUAAAGUAGAGGUGGGCGGAAUUGAUAGUGUAGCGGUGAAAUGCAUAGAUAUUAUCAAGAACUCCAAUUGCGUAGGCAGCUCACUUGGCUUUUACUGACACUCAUGCACGAAAGUGUGGGUAUCAAACAGGAUUAGAUACCCUGGUAGUCCACACUGUAAACGAUGAUAACUAGGUGUCGGCCGAAUCUGGUCGGUGCCACAGCGAAAGCGUUAAGUUAUCCACCUGGGGAGUACGCCGGCAACGGUGAAACUCAAAGGAAUUGACGGGGGUCCGCACUAGCGGUGGAGCAUGUGGUUUAAUUCGAUGAUA
This 896-nucleotide ribosomal RNA is filed under the name uncultured Flexibacteraceae bacterium. RNAcentral's name for it is "bacterial SSU rRNA". It matches the Rfam family "Bacterial small subunit ribosomal RNA", at positions 50 to 959 of the family's 1533-position model. Lineage: Bacteria; Pseudomonadati; Bacteroidota; Cytophagia; Cytophagales; Cytophagaceae. The record is from RNAcentral.